GUGUGCAAAUGAGAUGACUGGGGGCUGGGGAUGCCUGGACAGCCUCAGGAUGGAGCAGGUCACCAGAGGAACCAGCCAUGUGCAUAGAGGGUUGGAACUUGUGGUCCCAUCCCCAACCUCUAGGGAGGGGAGAAGGCUGAAGGUCAAGUUGAUCACCAGUGGACAGUGAUUUAACAAAUCAUGCCUACAUGAUAGCCUCCAUAAAAACCCAAAAGGACAGAGUUCAGAGAGCUUCUGGUUGGCCGGAAAAGAGGCAUAAACUUGGAGAACCCAAGACCCCGGCCUGGCGUGCAGCCCCAGCAGCCAGACCAGCCUUGGGCAACAGCGUGCGACGUUCAGCUGUCUGCGUCUUCAGUGCUCCCAUUCCAUCGCAACUGAGUGAGGGAUUUGGGAGGUAAAACAGGCAAAUAAUGAAAUACACAAAUCUUCAUUGUGCAAUUUUGAUCAGUUGCUUCUCCUAUGCAACCCUCACCCCAAUAGAGACACAGCCUCUCAUCGGAACGCUCCUGCACACCCUUCUCAGCAACCCCCACCACCUGCCCCCCACUCCCGACCAGAGCAGCCACCAUCCUGGUGUCUCCCAUCAGAGGGAAGUGUGGUCUCCCGACCAGAGCAGCCACCGUCCUGGUGUCUCCCAUCAGAGGGAAGUGUGGUCUCCCGACCAGAGCAGUCACCGUCCUGGUGUCUCCCAUCAGAGGGAAGUGUGGUCUCCCGACCAGAGCAGCCACCGUCCUGGUGUCUCCCAUCAGAGGGCUGAGCGUGCGUUCGAGCUUCUCCUGCAUCAUGACCAGGGUGCUCCGGGACACCUUGUCCACAUCUGUGUCCACCAGUCCUGCUCAGAAUCUCCCCAGGGGUUUUCCACGAUGCCCAUCCAGGCGUCACCCUCACUCUAGGCCAGGAGGAGACGCCAUGCCCUGAGGAUUCAGCCUCUUCUUCUUCAUCCCUCCCAGCACCCAGUGUGUUGGGUGCACACAGUAGGUGCCCCAUAAGUAUCAUAAGACCACAAUGUGUUGGGUGCACACAGGUACCCCAUAAGUGUCGGAAGACCACAGUGCUCCUAGUGUCCUGCUCCUAAACACUGCACUACUCACUAUGCAACAUGGUUUGCACAGCUCUUCAAGGGAGAAAAACAAACUUCUCAGAACUCUCCAACAAAAUACAAAUGUUUUGGUAUUGAAUAUAUUGUAUUUAACUCAAAGCAUUGGAUGCUGUCAGGCUGGCCAGGUGAUAUUUAUGAAGAGUCUUACAGGCAUUUGUUGUCCCAACAUUCUACUUCUGGGAAUUUAUCCAAGGGAAAUAAUUCAAAAUGCAGAAAAACUGUGGCCAAAAAUAUUCAUUGUAGUAUAGCAUUAUUAGUCCUAGUGAAAAAUGUACAUCAACCAAAUGUCUAAUAGGGAGGUUAUUAAGUGGUUGUGGUAAAUUCUCUGAAUGUAUGGUCAUGGAGAAAGAGAGAAUAACAUUCAUCAAGAAUUAAUAACAUUCCAUCCAUGAGUUAUGAUAAAGUAAUCUGUGAUAAUUCUGUUCUAAAAGAUAUAAAAUUAUAUAUAUGACAUAUAAGCCCAACGAUUUUUUUCCUUGAACUACAAUAUAAGAGUUCUUAAGGGAAAUAUGGCAAAAUGUUCAAGGAUGGUUUGUGGUUUCUCUGGGUGAUGGGACUCUAGGUGAUUUCUUUUACAUUUUUUUUCCUAUCAUGAGUGUAUUACAAUGGAAACUUCCAACGGGACGCCGGCCCCACCCUGUGUGCUGGUUUCUACGGCUCCCUGUCAUGUCCUCCGCACCCUCUCCUCUCCCCUGAAUACAGUUCCUAGAGACCUUGAGUCCACAGCCCUGGGGCUCUGCACACUGCGGGUCCGGUGGUGUCUCCAGUGCUGUGUGGAUGACUUCCCCGCGUGUUUCCCCCUCUACACAGUUGAGGAACAGAGAAGAUCUCCACUUGCCAACGGACACAGCGCUAGUGAAGCCAAUUAUUGCUACAUCCACUGAUAAAGUUCGGGGGGAAUUAAAUUUUUUGGUCCAUGGAUGCAAAUCGCCUCCAGGCACCUUUACUGUCUCAGUGCUCUCCUCAGGAGGCUGCUGUUGGUGGCCAGGGAUUUUGCCAUAGCAAAGUUCUCACAGAUUCCCAAACAAUAGCACUUAGCUGUCUGCCUCUCUGGCAGGAGGAUGGACAUUCGCAGCUUUGGACUCACUUUCUUCCAAAUAUGAACACUUUCAAAGACAGGGAUCUGCCAAUGACUUUACCAGGAGGGCCUUGCCGGAGCUGUCACCACUGUGGCAUGCAAGAAAGCAAGAGUCCUCCAGGAAGCCGGCCAAGAGGCGCCUUCUCUUAGGCCAAACAUGGGCAACAUGAGAAUAAGAAUACACAAAAUCAGGAGAACUAACAGGAGGCUGUGAGGAACUCCCCCCAAAUAAUGAGGAAGCUGGAGAAUAAGACCAGCCUGGUCCAACUAAUGGCUGUUCCGUUGGAGGCACAGGAGUGCAGAGGCAGCGAGGCCUGCAGAAGACCCCUCGCUGCGCUGGGUGGCAACUCCAGUGAAAAGCUGCUAAUCAAACACAUCUGAAUUCACACUGUUUUAAAAAUAAGUCUGUAAAGGCAAAACAGGUUAAUAGUAUUUUGACACUAAGCUUGUAGUUAUAACAGAUACUUUAAAAGGUCAAUCCCAGUUACCACGGUGACUGCAGCUCAGGCACCGCAGAAGUGCGUGAAGAUGAGAGUGAGGGAGCCGCAGCCCGGAAGGGUGGGUCCCAAAGUCUCACUGGCUGAUAGGGUUUGGCUGUGUCCCCACCCAAAUCUCACCUUGAAUUGUAGGUUCCAUAAUCCCCACGUGUUGUGGGAGGGACCUGGUGGGAGGUAAUUGAAUUAUAGGGGCGGGUUUCUCCCGUGCUGUUGUUGUGAUAGUGAAUAAGUCUCACAAAAUCCGAUGGUUAUAUAAAGGGCAGUUCCCCUGCACACACUCUGUCACCUGCCGCCCUGUAAGAUGUGUCUUUGCUCCUCCUUUGCCUUCCAUCAUGAUUGUGAGGCCUCCCCAGCCGUGUGGAACUGUGAGUCCAUUAAACCUCUUUUUCUUUAUAAAU
Gorilla gorilla gorilla (western lowland gorilla) is the source of this 3072-nucleotide long non-coding RNA. RefSeq lists it as uncharacterized. The record is from RefSeq and is a predicted model, not a curated record. The transcript has 3 exons. Lineage: Eukaryota; Metazoa; Chordata; Mammalia; Primates; Hominidae.